CUGGCUCAGGAUGAACGCUAGCUACAGGCUUAACACAUGUAAGUCGGGGGGCAGCGAGGCGGUAGCAAUACCGCUGUCGGCGACCGGCGCACGGGUGAGUAACGCGUAUCCAACCUUCCCUUAGUAGGGCAUAGCCCGGCGAAAGUCGGAUUAAUACCCUAUGUUAUCCGAAGAGGACAUCUGAUUUGGAUUAAAGAUUCAUCGCUAAGGGAUGGGGAUGCGUCCGAUUAGGUUGACGGCGGGGUGACGGCCCACCGUGCCCGCGAUCGGUAGGGGUUCUGAGAGGAAGGUCCCCCACAUUGGAACUGAGACACGGUCCAAACUCCUACGGGAGGCAGCAGUGAGGAAUAUUGGUCAAUGGGCGAGAGCCUGAACCAGCCAAAGUAGCGUGAGGGACGACGGCCCUACGGGUUGUAAACCUCUUUUGGAGGGGAAUAAAGUGCGGGACGUGUCCCGUUUUGCAUGUACCCUCAGAAUAAGGACCGGCUAAUUCCGUGCCAGCAGCAGC
This 508-nucleotide ribosomal RNA is filed under the name uncultured bacterium. RNAcentral describes it as "bacterial SSU rRNA". It matches the Rfam family "Bacterial small subunit ribosomal RNA", at positions 19 to 518 of the family's 1533-position model. The record is from RNAcentral.